UACGGAGGGGGCGAGCGUUGUCCGGAAUCAUUGGGCGUAAAGCGCGUGUAGGCGGUUCAGUAAGUCUGCUGUGAAAGUCCAGGGCUCAACCCUGGGAUGGCGGUGGAUACUGCUGAACUAGAGUGCGGAAGAGGCGAGUGGAAUUCCCGGUGUAGCGGUGAAAUGCGCAGAUAUCGGGAGGAACACCAAUUGCGAAGGCAGCUCGCUGGGCCGUUACUGACGCUGAGACGCGAAAGCGUGGGGAGCAAACAGG
RNAcentral lists this ribosomal RNA (253 nucleotides) under uncultured bacterium. RNAcentral describes it as "partial 16S ribosomal RNA". It matches the Rfam family "Bacterial small subunit ribosomal RNA", at positions 524 to 776 of the family's 1533-position model. The record is from RNAcentral.